Non-coding RNA from Podarcis lilfordi (Lilford's wall lizard), 9880 nucleotides. The record is from the annotation of a GenBank genome assembly. Lineage: Eukaryota; Metazoa; Chordata; Lepidosauria; Squamata; Lacertidae.
GUGUGAGCUCCGCUUUCUUCCUCACUCCCUGAUUGGCUGUAGGGAAGUCAGGAGCAAUUUCACCUUAAAGGGAUAGCGGCACGGAAUUUGACGGAGAGCGAGUUUGCUCAGAGUAAGCGGGAUAGGGGAUCGGGGAUCGGGGGCCAGGCGGGACAGGGCAGGGUCGAAAUUAUGCUUUCUGUCACCCAGGUCAAAGACCCAGUUUGGCACCCCACCCCUCCCCGGAUGCGUGUUUGCGUACAUACACAUACAAACAAACGAACACCUCCCCCAACACAUUUAUUCAUAAAGGGCAUAAAAAGCAGGCAAUAUAUAAUUUGAAUACAAAGGAAUCCUAAGAAGUAUUAUGACUGUAUGACCAAAGGGAAAAUGAGCAUCUCUUCCAGUAAAAGCAAAUUGUUUGUCAAAAGUAGAACUGCCAUGUGCAGCAAUUGUCUAUCUGUGGUCAGGUUUUUAAUUGGAUUUAUUUGGUCACAGGAUCAUUAAAAGACUAUAUUUCCAUAAGGUCAUCCAAGACCCUCUGGUUUGCUUUUAAAAUGUUUUUGCUCGCCUCUUUGAGGCUUUUUUCCAUCCACCCCUUGUGCAAACCCUUUCAAUGAGUUUUGACGUGUAAAUUACUCCCGAGUAAGCUUCAAAAAGAUUCAUUUCAAUUUUAUUUUUGUUUUAUUACUAAUUUUAGGAAAUGAUAAUUUUGUAGUCAUUUUAGGUUCCAUGUAAGGUGAAAGAGGGAAGCGGGUGGCGCUGUGGGUUAAACCACAGAGCCUAGGACUUGCCAAUCAGAAUGCUGGCCACAUGACCCAGAAGCUGUAUGCCGGCUCCCAUGUCCAAUAAAGCGAGAUGAGCGCCACAACCCCAGAGUCGGCCACGACUGGAUGUAAUAGUCAGGGGUCCUUUACCUUUCAGGUGAAAUGAAUGCUUUUUGCGAGUCUAAAGUAGAAAGUGCCCUUCCAUUACAAUCCUAAUGCAGCCAGGCUGAACAGAGCUUGCGAGGCAACUGCCUUGGGCAGGAAAAAUGCUCACACACCCCUUACUUUUCUGUGUGUAGAUCAUGUUUUACAGUGGUACCUAGGAUUAAGAACUUAAUUUGUUCCGUUGGUCCGUUCUUAACCUGAAACUGUUCUUAACCUGAGGUACCACUUUAGCUAAUGGGGCCUCCCGCUGCCACCGCACCGCCACCGCAUGAUUUCUGUUCUCAUCCUGAAGCAAAGUUCUUAACCUGAGGUACUAUUUCUGGGUUAGCGGAGUCUGUAACCUGAAGCGUCUGUAACCUGAAGUGUAACCUGGGGUACCACUGUAUCUGUAAAAUGACUCAGCCUUAGUAUUUAAAACACAUUCAAAGUUCUGAAGGGAUCAUAGAAUCAUAGAAUUGUGGAAGGGAUCCCAAGGAUCAUCUAGUUCAGCUGAUUCUCUUCCUCAGCUUCCCGCCCCUCCAUCGUCCCUCCAGAAUUUCUUUCUCACAUAUUAGGUUGUGUGGCUCGUGGCAGGCCAGGCCCUGUGGUAAGUGCCCACUCUUGCGGUGUGGCGCCCCCUCUUCCCCCCUAACUAUGCCUCUGAGGCUGAGAGCCUCCAUAGUGCCCUUCUGGAGGCUUCACCCAGGGCAGAAACCCUAGCUAGGUUCUGCUUCACCCAGGGCAGAAACACCCCACCCCAUCCCAGCUACGGCUCUGCAGAAUGAGCCAUGGUGUUUUCCCAUUUGGAUGUUUUUCCAGGAGAAAGUUGACAGAAAAAGCAUUUCUCCCUAUUUCUUAACACUGGAAUUUGGGGACAUCCAAUGAAAUGGAAUGUUGGAAGAUUCAGGACAGAUCAAAGGAAGGACUUCUUUAUGCAGUGCAGUGUUGAACUGUGAAACUUGCUUCCACAGGAGGCAAUGAUGGCCGCUAACUUGGAUGGCUUGAAAAGAGCAUUGGAAAAAUACAUGGAGGAGAGGAACUCUUUUUAAUAGCUUCUAGAUAUCAUGGUAAGUGUGUGUGUGUGUGUGUGUGUGUGUGCCCCUCCGACCAGCAACCACUGCCAAAUAAAGCUGACUAGUGCGCCUGUUCCUUUAAGUUUUAAAUAGCAUACAGUCAUACCUCAUGUUACGUCUGCUUCAUGUUAUGUUCUUUCAGGUUACGUCCCGCAGCGACUCGGAAGUACCGGAAAGGGUUACUUCCGGGUUUCGCCACUUGCGCAUGCGCAGAAGCGCAAAAUGACGUCACACGCAUGCGCAGAAGCGGCGAAUCGCAACCUGUGCGUGCGCAGAUGUGCCGCUGCGGGUUGCGCUCUUUUCAUGUUGCGAACGGGCCUCCAGAACAGAUCCCGUUCGCAACCAGAGGUACCGCUGUAUAAUGGGUAGAGGGUGAAUCAGGACCACAACCCAGGAGUGGCUAAAGCAUUUCUCCUCCUGCUGAUUCCCCAAAGAAAAUUGAUCUCCUGAGGCUAUUCCUGGACACAGCACCCCCCCUCCACUGCACCCAGUCCAAAAGCCCCUCCCCCAGACCUCUUAUUUACAUUUUUAAUCUGAGACACCUUAGUUGCAAGUACUGUACGCAAUUAACUUCAUGUGCAGAUUUGCCCUUUACAAGGAGCUACAAGCCCAGUGAUAAGGUUCAAUCAAUCUAUCAGUUUAUUACAGUCAUAGACCAGCAAUGAUGAGAUUCCUGACACCGCAGCUCUACAGUCCUGAGGUUGCAUGUUUUCUUUCCUGGCUGAUUUAUGUAGCAGUGGCCUGGUCCACGCUUCUGUCACUGGAGAAGCAUGACUAAGGAAAUACUGUAUUGUAAACACAGUGAGAGGGAUGUCAAGGGCAUCCCUCUCACUGUGUUUAAAACUCACUGUGGAUGGCAAUGUGACUUAGAAUCAUAAAAUUGGAAGGUACCACCAAAGGUCAUCCAGGCCAACCCCCUGCAGGAAUCACAGGGAAAAUCCAUCACAGAUGGCCAGCCUGUAAAAGAUAUACAUUUAAUGUGCAUGAAGUGCUCUGUUUGUGUGCAUUGUGUAUGAAACUUAGUGCAGCUUUGUACUUGCAGAAUGUCUGGGUUUUUUUAAAAAAAUAAUUUUUAUUAAGGUUUCAAUCAAAAAUUAAACAACAACAACGAAAAAGAAACAUAAAAAAGAUACACAAAUACAUAAUACAAAUCUCAGAAUUUUUUUUUAAAAAAACACAAAAAGCAAGAAUCAACAGUAAAAAGACAAAAAAACCCAAAACAUAACAAUUAAAAACAAUAUCUCUUUUCCAUUUCUGUUUUGAGUUUACUUAUUUUCUGGACUUCCUCAUACCUCCCUCUUUUGUAUUCCAAUUCAAAUUGUUUGUCCAGCAAUUUCUUUUCCACUUUUUUAAUCCCAAUCUUUAAUUUUAAUAUAAUAUGUAACUUCAACUUCUUUAAACCUAAUCUUUGAUCUUAAUGUAAUAUAAUCUUGAAAUUUUACCUCUUAAUUACCAAAUUUCCAUUUCCUUAAACAUCUUUAAUCCUAAUCCUUAAUCUUAGUCUAUCAUUAACUUUAACCUGUACAGCUGGAAACCACUUAUUUUCAGUCCAACAUCACUCUAACAUUCUUUAAUUUUGCAAUGUUUCUGAAGAUAAUCUUUGAAUUUCUUCCAAUCUUCCUCCACCAACUCUUCUCCCUGGUCACGGAUUCUGCCAGUCAUUUCCGCCAGUUCCAUAUAGUCCAUCAGUUUUGUUGUGUAUUGAGUCAAAGGAUUUUAUAUCUGUCUAAAGUAACUGCCUUUUGGUUCCAGAGGGUACAGCUACUAUUGGUUCAUUUAAGCUGCUGUAUUUGGAUCCUCUGUCUUAUUGGUUCCCUCCAAAAGGCAGGACUGUGAUUGCCUGAUAUUGUUCCCUCCAAAAUGUAUCCUUUCUUGCUAGUUCCCUGUCCCUAUAAAUGUAGCUUUCCUCUUCCCAGUCUGCAGUCUUGUUGCUUUAAUAAAGAAGUGUUACUAGAGAACUGUCUCCAGCAUGUUAUAUCAGGAGAGCUGAAAUCACAAACCCCACGUCACAACAACUGGCGAUGAGGAUGGGAUCCGGAAUGCUGAGGAGCGGUUAAACGCAGCCCUGCCUCAGAGUCCGGAUUGCAGCUAAGAACAAGACUCACUGACCAGCUGAGAAGACGACCCUGCCACAGGACAAUGGAGAGUCCAAGGGUAUUGGAGCCCUUCCAGCCAUCAGAGCCCGACACGUGGGAAGACUACGUCGAACGCUUCGAGUUCUUCGCAGAGGCUCAAGGGAUCACCGAUGCCAGCAAAAGAAGGGCCACAUUCCUGAGCUACUGUGGGCCUGAGACCUUCAAGCUGGCCAAGGCAUUGCUUGCUCCAGCGAAGCUAAGUGAGACAUCUCUCAAAGAUAUUCUUGCCUGCCUAACAAGCCACUUGGCGCCUACUGAGACCAAGAUGGCUCCGCGGAUGGAGUUUCAUAAGAGGCAGCAGCAUGCUGGGAGUCUGUAUCUGCAUUUCUGGCUGAACUGCGGAAGCUCGCUCAGCACUGCGACUUCCAAAAUCUGGAAGAGACUCUCCUGGAUCGGUUUAUCGGUGGUCUGAGCAGCAAGAAGGCCAGAAGACGCAUCGUGGCUAAAGAAGAGGUUACCCUUGCUUCAGCCUUGAAGGAGGCCACCGCCACGGAGAAUUAUGAAAGAGAGGAGCUUGAUGCCAGUCGCAAGGCCCCUAAGCCACAGAUAGAAGUUGCGCAUGCCAUGGACGAGCUAGAGGCUACUCCGAGCCAGAGCCCAGUCCGUGGGGGUCGAGUCAGUGAGUCAGGCCUGCACAGUGCACAAAGAUCACCGAGGCAGGUGCCCAGGUUGUGGCGGAAACCAUGAGCGGAAGAGUUGUCGUUUCCGGGAUGCUAUGUGCCGGACGUGCGGGAAGACAGGUCACAUCGCCAGAGUCUGUAGAUCGGCGGCGUUGGGAGCGACAGGAGCACCUAGACCGGAGCAUCGCAGACCGCCCGCAGCAACCCAUUUUCUAAAGGACUGCCACUACGUUACGGAGAUCAACGGGAGGGUCGGGAGGGUCGUGCAGUUCCCAGCACAAGGCAAGGCACACGUCAAGGUGAAGAUUGAGGGUCAGCAGUGCGACAUGGAGGUGGACUCCGGAUCUGGAUUCACUAUCGUGUCGGACCAGACCCCGAGGACAUUCUUCCCCAGGGGUAAGUUGCCCCUCUGGAACCCUUCCCGGCAACCUUGCAGUCAUACUCAGCGGGCCGCAUCCAUGUUAUGGGAAUGUGUGCCGUGAGAGUACAGUUCCGGGACAAACAGGCUGUACUCAAACUGGUGAUUGCGAAGGGCAGUCGCCCCAGUCUCCUGGGCACUGACUGGUUCCCCGCCCUGAGAUGAGCGAGGCAUUAUGCAAAGAAUUUGCUGGUCUCUUUAAUGGAAAACUGGGUUGUUAUAAAGGGCCCUCAGUUGACUCUCGAGUUGGACCCUGGGGUGGCCCCAAUCCGACUCAAACCAAGGCGAGUGGCCAUUUGCACUGCAACCCAAGAUCGAAGCAGAGCUGGAUAAAUUGGUCAAGCAGGAGUUCUCUCACCCGUGGACUCUGCUAAGUGGGAGACUCCAAUCGUCACGCCCUUAAAGCAAAUGGGGAAGUCAGGAUCUGUGCAGAUUACAAAUGUACUAUCAAUAAGGCACUCAGGGAAAACUCAUACCCCAUUCCAGUCGUAUCACAUCUGUUGGCUAAACUGGCUGGGGGCAAGGUGUUCGCCAAAAUUGACCUGGCACAAGCUUACCAACAGCUGCCAGUAACCCCACAAUCAGCGGAAGCACAGACUAUUGUCACACAUAAAGGGGCGUUCAGAGUUAACAGAUUACAAUUUGGAGUUUGUGUGGCCCCAGGGAUUUUUCAAGGGCUCAUGGAACACCUGUUAAGAGGUCUGCUGGGGGUCUUGCCAUUUUUUGAUGACGUUUUGAUUGCUGGAAAAGACCCACAGGAACUGGUUGCGCGUGUUCGUGCAGUGUUGCUCAAGUUCAAGGAAGUGGGGUUGCAACUGAAAAGGAAAAAUGCAGUUUUGGGGUGCCAACUGUGGAUUUCUUGGGGUUUAAAAUUGAUGCAUCAGGCAUCCACCCCACAGAUGCUAAGAUUAAGGCCAUCAUCGAGGCGCCACGACCACAGAACAAGACGGAGUUGCAGUCAUUCCUGGGACUUAUUAACUUUAUCAUCUGCUCUUACCCCAGAAAGCUUCGGUAGCUGAACCAUUACAUAGACUGUUGCAGAAAAAGACUGUGUGGCGAUGGGGGCAGGGGCAGCAGAAGGCUUUUGACUCUUGCGAGGAAUGCUGAGUAGCAGGAGUGUCCUUGCUCAUUAUGACGAGUCAAAGCCUCUGGUCCUGGCAUGUGAUGCCUCUCAAUACGGCCUGGGGCGGUGCUAAGUCAUAGGGAACCGGAUGGGUCGGAAGAGCCCAUCUCUUUCUAUUCCCGUGACGCUGUCGCCCACGGAGCGCAACUAUGCUCAAAUUGACAAAGAGGCGCUUGCAAUUGUGGCAGGAAUCAAAAGUUCCAUGAUUAUGUGUACGGUCGCCAUUUCUACAUUGAAACGGACCACAAGCCACUGUUAGGGUUGUUCAACCCGAACAAACAAACGCCACAAAUUCUCUCCCCAGAAUGUUACGUGGGUCGAAAUUCCUGAACGGGUUCCAGUACACCUUGACCCAUGUGCCGGGAACCGGGUGUGCCACGCGGAUGCGCUGAGUCGAUUGCCCCUUCCUGGCGGGAGCACUGAGGAUCCUGCUCCAGCGGAGCACAUAAUGAUGCGGGACACACUUCCGGGGCUCCUGUAACGGCUACUGAUAUAGCUGAGAAAACGAGGAAAGAUGCUGUUCUCUCCCGUGUGCUCACUCUGGGUGGGGAGGGGUGGCCAGGUGGUCCGCAUGAAGACAAAUUCAGGCCUUAUGCGACUAGGCAGCACGAGUUGUCCAUGCAUAAGGGUUGUCUCCUGUGGGGAGAUAGGGUCAUCAUCCCAGCACCACUGAGAAACAGGGUUCUUGAGGACGCUUCACAUGGGACACCUGGGAAUGGUCAGGAUGAAGUCGCUAGCCCGAUGUUAUGUGUGGUGGCCUGGAAUGGACCAGAACAUAGAACAAUGGGUCACGAACAUGCAAGGCAUGCCAAGAGGUGCGGCCAGAAGUGGCCAGAGCACCAGUCCACUGGUGGGAGCAGUCCAGAUCUCCCUGGAGCCGGCUGCACUUAGAUUUUGCUGGGCCAUUCCAAGGAAAGGUCUUUUUGGUUAUCGUUGAUGCAUAUUCCAAAUGGUUAGAAGUGGCGAUGGUCCCUAGCAUGGCAUCAGCUGCCGUCAUCAAGGUGUUGAGGCAGCUGUUUGCAACCCACGGGUUACCUGAGACCAUUGUAUCAGAUAAUGGGGCAGCUUUUGUAUCCCAAGAAUUCAGGGCAUUCUUGGCUGAUAACUUCAUAAGAGGGGUCACAUCCGCGCCCUUUCACCCAUCCUCCAAUGGGCAGGCUGAGCGCAUGGUAAGAACAGCCAAAGAAUCCAUUGCGCGCUUAAUGGAGGGUAACUGGUCAGCUCGCAUCGCGCAAAUGUUAUUUUUGCAGCAUGCGACGCCGUGUACCACAACGGGCAAGUCGCCAGCUGAGCUGCUCUUGGGUAGGAGACUGGUAACGGUGCUGGAUUAUGUCCACCCGGAUAAAAUGCCAAACCAUAAUUCAAGAGCAAACCCCCAGGCUGAGACUGACACAACAAGGUAUCUCGCCCCUGAAGAUCUGGUCUGGGUGAGGAACUAUUCACGAGGUUCGCGGUGGGUGGCUGGUGUGGUCACCCGGGCUAGUGGACCUGUGUCCUAUUAUGUGACCUUGGAAAAUGGGCAAGUGUGGAAGAGACAUAUAGAUCAGCUGAGGCGCCGGGCGCUCAGCAGGGAGGAGCCAGAUAAUUCAUCCCAGGCUAAUGACGCAGAGCCGCAAGACCAGAGUGAAAAUGGCCCAGAGGUGCAAUCACCAGGGGCUUUAACAAAUGAACCAGGGUCUGCUAGUCCUCACGAUGAUGAGGUACAGAUAGGGGACCCUGAGAUGUCGGGAACUCCAUCUGUUCCUGACGAAACCCCUAGAGCAGCCCCUCUACCACAGGUAACACCCAAUCCAGAACCUGCAACACCUGUUGUCAGGAGAUCAAGUAGAAGUUGUAGGCCCCCACAGUACCGGAGAGAUCACGUCUGCUGUGCUCACUAGGGGGGAAGGGGUGUUGUGUAUUGAGUCAAAGGAUUUUAUAUCUGUCUAAAGUAACUGCCUUUUGGUUCCAGAGGGUACAGCUACUAUUGGUUCAUUUAAGCUGCUGUAUUUGGAUCCUCUGUCUUAUUGGUUCCCUCCAAAAGGCAGGACUGUGAUUGCCUGAUAUUGUUCCCUCCAAAAUGUAUCCUUUCUUGCUAGUUCCCUGUCCCUAUAAAUGUAGCUUUCCUCUCCCCAGUCUGCAGUCUUGUUGCUUUAAUAAAGAAGUGUUACUAGAGAACUGUCUCCAGCAUGUUAUAUCAGGAGAGCUGAAAUCACAAACCCCACGUCACAACAACUUUCAUCUGCCAUUCCUCCAGUGUGGGAAGUUCUUGUGUCUUCCAAUACUUUGCGAUGAGUAUUCUUGCUGCUGUUGUUGCAUACAUAAAGAAAGUUCUAUCCUUUUUUAACACCAUUUGGCCAACUAUGCCCAGGAGAAAGGCCUCUGGUUUCUUAGGGAAGGUAUAUUUAAAUACCUUUUUUAAUUCAUUAUAUAUCAUUUCCCAGAAAGCCUUAAUCUUUGGGCACGUCCACCAAAGGUGAACAAAUGUACCUUCAGUUUCUUUCCAUUUCCAACAUUUAUUAUCGGGAAAAUGAUAGAUUUUUGCAAGAUUGACUGGGGUUAUGUACCACCUGUAAAUCAUUUUCAUAAUAUUCUUCUUAAGGCAUUACAUGCCGUAAAUUUCAUACCUGUGGUCCACAACUGUUCCCAGUCAGCAAAACAUAAUGUUAUGUCCAACGUCCUGUGCCCAUUUAAUCAUAGCCGAUUUUACCGUUUCAUCCUGAGUAUUCCAUUUCAGCAGCAAGUUAUACAUUCUUGACAAAUUCUUAGUUUUGGGUUCUAACAAUUCUGUUUCUAAUUUUUAUCUUUCCACCUGGAAGCCAAUUUUCUUGUCCAAUUUAAAUACCUCCAUUAUCUGAUAAUAAUGAAGCCAGUCUCGCACUUUGUUUUUUAAUUUUUCAAAACUCUGCAAUUUCAGUCUAUCUCCAUCUUGUUCCAAAAUUUCCCAAUAUUUCGGCCAUUUGACCUCCAUAUUGACCUUUCUCAAGGCUUUCGCUUCCAUUGGUGACAGCCACCUUGGGGUUUUGUUUUCUAGCAAAUCCUUAUAUCUUAUCCAAACGUUAAAUAGCUCUUUCCUGACAAUAUGGUUUCUAAAUGCUUUAUGUGCUUUGACCUUAUCAUACCACAAAUAUGCAUGCCAUCCAUGCAGAAUGUCUGUUUUGCAGGGAGCUGUAUCAAGUGCAAAGGAAGUGGAGAAAGAUGCUUGUGGAGCUUAAAGCUGUAACAAGAGUGGGAUAUUUGUUUCUGUGCUACUGAUGUUAAAUUGAUGGCUUAUCCCUGGUAGUCGAAAGCAGAAACAUUUAUAUCAACAAUUACAUCUGUGGGUGGCUAAAAACUUGAUGACUUAAAGAAGAAACAUGAAUCCCUUUGAAUAUACUUGGUAGUGAAAGAUUCUGAGUGUUUCUUAUCUUUUCUUUUUAUAUUUCAUUCUCAUUCCCGUACUUCUACCUGCUAACUUACUCUGAUAAAGACUCUGGGCAUAUUGCCAGUACAAGAGGUUUGGGCACUCUUCCAGCAUGUAUAUCAAUCUACCACAAUUCUGUUUUAAUGAAUUAUUUUCAUGGUUUUAAUAGAUUUUUAUGUGUAUACAUUCAGUUUUAAUUAUACAGAUGUCUAAUUGUUUUUUUAAUUAUUCCCCUCCCC